CCUACGGGUGACAGCAGUGAGGAAUAUUGGUCAAUGGCCGGGAGGCUGAACCAGCCAAGUCGCGUGAGGGAAGACGGCCCUACGGGUUGUAACCCUCUUUUGUCAGGGAGCAAGGUGCAGGUCGGGACCUGCUGUGAGAGUACCUGAAGAAAAAGCAUCGGCUAACUCCGUGCCAGAGGCCGCGGUAAUACGGAGGAUGCGAGCGUUGUCCGGAUUUAUUGGGUUAAAGGGGUGGGCAGGCGGAGGGACAAGUCAGCGGUAAAAUCGCGGGGCCCAACCCCGCUCUGCCUUUGAAACUGUGUCCCAUGAGUGCGCGAAGGGCAGACGGAAUGCGUGGGGUAGCGGUGAAAUGCAUAGAUAUCA
This 363-nucleotide ribosomal RNA is filed under the name uncultured bacterium. Its description in RNAcentral is "partial 16S ribosomal RNA". It matches the Rfam family "Bacterial small subunit ribosomal RNA", at positions 338 to 699 of the family's 1533-position model. The record is from RNAcentral.